RNAcentral lists this ribosomal RNA (219 nucleotides) under uncultured bacterium. RNAcentral describes it as "partial 16S ribosomal RNA". It matches the Rfam family "Bacterial small subunit ribosomal RNA", at positions 524 to 738 of the family's 1533-position model. The record is from RNAcentral.
UACGAAGGGUGCAAACGUUGCUCGGAAUUAUUGGGGCGUAAAGCGCACGUAGGCGGCUUUUCAAGUCCCAUGUGAAAGCCCACGGCUUAACCGUGGAAGUGCAUGGGAAACUGGAAGCUUGAGUACUUAAGAGGAUCGCGGAAAUUCCCGGUGUAGAGGUGGAAAUUCGUAGAUAGUCGGGAGGAACACCAGGUGGCGAAGGCGGCGAUCUGGGAAGAU